UACGUAGGUGGCAAGCGUUGUCCGGAUUUACUGGGCGUAAAGUGUGCGCAGGCGGCCGCGCAAGUCGAGUGUGAAAUCCCCGGGCUUAACUUGGGAAUUGCGCUCGAAACUACGUGGCUGGAGUGUGGCAGAGGAAGGUGGAAUUCCACGUGUAGCGGUGAAAUGCGUAGAGAUGUGGAGGAACACCGAUGGCGAAGGCAGCCUUCUGGGCCAACACUGACGCUCAUGCACGAAAGCGUGGGGAGCAAACAGG
This 253-nucleotide ribosomal RNA is filed under the name uncultured bacterium. Its description in RNAcentral is "partial 16S ribosomal RNA". It matches the Rfam family "Bacterial small subunit ribosomal RNA", at positions 524 to 776 of the family's 1533-position model. The record is from RNAcentral.